GUCAAGACUUUUUGUCUUCUGGGAAACAAAACUCAUCAUCAGACAGGAAUGGUCACACUGACCACCUUCCAAAGAACCUGACCACAGUCACGAGGUUGGUAUUUUGUACAGCUCAUUGGACGCAUUGCUUCACGCUGGUAAGACGCUGACAUUGAAGGAGAAGAGAGAGACCUGUACAUUCAUGAGCGGCAUGGGAAAGAUAAUUAGGAAACAUAUUCACUUUUCUCCAGGACAUGUAAUGGCAACAUCAGUUAAAGAUGGGAAGUGACAUGUUAUAACAAUCAGACUGAGAAUCAUGGGGGUUGGAAGGCAGCUCUGAAGAUCACUUAGUCCAAUUCCCUGCUAAAUCAGGUUCCCUAGAGUUGGUUGCAGCAAAAAGCAUCCAGGUGGAUUAUGAAUAUCUCAAGUGGAGACUUCACAACCUCUCUAGGCAGCCUGUUCCAGUACUCUGUCUCCC
RNAcentral lists this long non-coding RNA (457 nucleotides) under Gallus gallus (chicken). RNAcentral's name for it is "long non-coding RNA NONGGAT004184". The record is from RNAcentral. Lineage: Eukaryota; Metazoa; Chordata; Aves; Galliformes; Phasianidae.